RNAcentral lists this ribosomal RNA (301 nucleotides) under uncultured bacterium. RNAcentral describes it as "partial 16S ribosomal RNA". It matches the Rfam family "Bacterial small subunit ribosomal RNA", at positions 509 to 807 of the family's 1533-position model. The record is from RNAcentral.
CAGCAGCCGCGGGAAUACGUAGGGUGCAAGCGUUGUCCGGAGUUAUUGGGCGUAAAGAGCUCGUAGGCGGUUUGUCGCGUCUGCUGUGAAAUCCCGAGGCUCAACCUCGGGCUUGCAGUGGGUACGGGCAGACUAGAGUGCGGUAGGGGAGAUUGGAAUUCCUGGUGUAGCGGUGGAAUGCGCAGAUAUCAGGAGGAACACCGAUGGCGAAGGCAGAUCCCUGGGCCGUAACUGACGCUGAGGAGCGAGAGCGUGGGGAGCGAACAGGAUUAGAUACCCCAGUAGUCCCUGUCUCUUAUAC